GAUGAACGCUGGCGGCGUGCCUAAAACAUGCAAGUCGAGCGGUAAGGCUCUGCACUUAGUGUUUGAUCGAAGUAAUUUAUUACUACAGUAGACCAAUUGGAACCUUGGCGGGUGAAGAGCGGAAUAGGAGAUCGAAUUAUAAGUGUAGAGUACACGAGCGGCGGACGGGUGAGUAACACGUGGGAAUCUACCCCAAACUGAGGGAUAAGCACCGGAAACGGUGCCUAAUACCGCAUAUGGUCUUCGGAUUAAAGCUUCGGCGGUUUGGGAAGAGCCCGCGUAAGAUUAGCUAGUUGGUGAGGUAAAGGCUCACCAAGGCGACGAUCUUUAGCUGGUUUGAGAGGAUGAUCGGCCACACUGGAACUGAGACACGGUCCAGACUCUACGGAGGCAGCAGUUAGGAAUUUUCCACAAUGGCGCAAGCCUGAUGGAGCAACGCCGCGUGCAGGAUGAA
Molecule: ribosomal RNA, 454 nt
Filed under: uncultured bacterium
Lineage: Bacteria
Description: bacterial SSU rRNA
Rfam family: Bacterial small subunit ribosomal RNA
Source: RNAcentral